UACCAACAGUUAAUCACCAAUAGUGCAUAGGUGAACCUGAGAAAUUAUCAUUGUCAUUGCCACAAAAGAGCGACCCCACCCCAGUGCCACAGGCGCCUUAGUUACGCAACAAAGUAAAGGCAACACGGCUGAUGGCGCAGGAAUGGCGCUAAUCACCUAGCCCGGUGACUCAUGCCAUAUGCAAUCUCAAACAACUCUUGGUGGCAGAUAUCUCGACUCUCGUAUCGAUGAAGAACAUAGCGAAAUGCGAUACUUGGUGUGAAUUGUAUAAUCCCAUGAACCAUUCAAUCUUUAAACGUAAGUUGGGCCCGAAGGCAUAUGGCAAAGGGCACGUUUUCUUGGGUGUCACGCAUCAUCGCCACUGUCCCACGCCCACGAGGCGGAGGAUGGCCUCCCGAGAGCCUCGCCUUCAGGCUUGCCAAAAAAGGGCCUAACGUGACGCUCACCAUGACCCAUGGUGGCUGAGCGAACACACGUUCAAGACCUAGACGUGCAUGUGUCAUCCGAGGAGAGGGCCUGUCAGGGAAGGCAGUAUCCUCCAACCUUACGCGACCCCAGGUCAGGAAAGGCUACACACUUAGUUUAAGCA
This 589-nucleotide ribosomal RNA is filed under the name Vachellia johnwoodii. RNAcentral describes it as "eukaryotic LSU rRNA". The stretch from base 193 to 348 matches the Rfam family "5.8S ribosomal RNA". The record is from RNAcentral. Lineage: Eukaryota; Viridiplantae; Streptophyta; Magnoliopsida; Fabales; Fabaceae.